UACGUAGGGGGCAAGCGUUGUCCGGAAUCAUUGGGCGUAAAGCGCGUGUAGGCGGUUCGGUAAGUCGGCUGUGAAAGUCCAGGGCUCAACCCUGGGAUGCCGGUCGAUACUGCCGGACUAGAGUUCGGAAGAGGCGAGUGGAAUUCCAGGUGUAGCGGUGAAAUGCGCAGAUAUCGGGAAGAACACCCGUGGCUAAGGCGGCUCUCUGGGACGGUACUGACGCUGAGACGCGAAAGCGUGGGGAGCAAACAGG
RNAcentral lists this ribosomal RNA (253 nucleotides) under uncultured bacterium. RNAcentral describes it as "partial 16S ribosomal RNA". It matches the Rfam family "Bacterial small subunit ribosomal RNA", at positions 524 to 776 of the family's 1533-position model. The record is from RNAcentral.